This 1441-nucleotide long non-coding RNA is filed under the name Struthio camelus australis. RNAcentral describes it as "lncRNA (ENSSCUG00000000744.1)". Lineage: Eukaryota; Metazoa; Chordata; Aves; Struthioniformes; Struthionidae. The record is from RNAcentral.
GGGGAUCCCCGGCGGUGUCGGGGCCGCGGGAGAGCCGUGAUCCCCGGAGAUCCCUAGUGGUGUCAGGGCUGCGGGAAGACCGUGAUCCCUGGGGACGCCAGGAUGAGGGGAGGGUUGGGAUCUCGGGCAAUGUCAAGGCGGGAUCCUGGGGAAUCCCAGCUGGUGCUGGGCAGGGAGAGGGCUGAGAUCAAGGGGGAUCCUUGGGAGAGGGAAGGACCACGGUCCCCGGGACUUCUGGUCACUGCUGGGGCCGCAGGAGAGCCGUGAUCUUGGGGGAUCCUUCGCAGUGCGGGGGUCACAGAAAGGUUGGGAUCUCAGAGGAUCCUGGGCAUUGUCAGGGCUGCGGGAUCCCCAGAGGGAUCCUGGGCUGCGAUCCCAGGAAAUCCUGGGUGGUGUCAGGGCCACAGGAGGGCUGCGAUCCCAGGGGAUCCCAGUAGCUUUGAUGGCAUGGCAAGGCCGUGAUGCUGGCAGGCGAUGGAGAUCCCGAAGGUCACAAGAGCAUGGGCACAUGGUGGAUCUGGCACGGGGACUUCGCCCUGGCUGCGGCCCCGCUCCGGGAGGAGCCAUCGGGGCCAGAUCUGUCCCUGGAAAGGGAUCUGCCGCGAGCUGGGGGUCCAUGGCCCAUGGCUGCAGAGAGGGUCCGUUUGGGGGCAGUGAUUAUGGUCAGGGACCAGCAGUGACAGCUGCUGACACCCCACUGGAUCCUGCUGCCCCACCAGCCACCGGAUCCCAGCCGGCUUCACGGAUCCCCCAAAAAAACACCCGCAAAGGGGAGACAGCGAGGCCAAGCAGGAGCACGGCGACGGUGGGGGGAGAAGGGAGGAGGGGUCAGCCAGGCCGGGAGCAGGGCUACACGAUCCAAGAGGGGACACGGGGAUCCUCGCCACGGAGGGAUCUCGCCUGAUCCCACCCCCUCAUUUCCCUGACCCUCGUCUCUCCGCAGGCUCAACAUCGAUGGCCUCCUGGUGUAUUUCCCGUACGACUACAUCUACCCCGAGCAGUUCUCCUACAUGCUGGAGCUCAAGAGGACCUUGGAUGCCAAGGGUCAUGGCGUGCUGGAGAUGCCUUCGGGGACAGGGAAGACGGUGUCGCUGCUGUCCCUCAUCGUUGCCUAUCAGCGGGCCCGGCCGUUGGACCUCACCAAGCUCAUCUACUGCUCCCGCACGGUGCCGGAGAUCGAGAAGGUGGGUUGCGAGGCUGGGGGUGGGGGCGAGUGGAUCCCAGAGGGGAUCCCCUGGGUGGGGGGCAGGGGAUCUGGUCGCCGCAUGUGAUCGAGGAGCUGCGGAAGCUCAUGGAUUUCUACGAGAAGCAGCUGGGGGAGAAGGUGCCGUUCCUGGGGCUGGCGCUGAGCUCCAGGAAGAACCUGUGCAUCCACCCCGAGGUGGGUGGCAUGGUGGCAGCGCGCGGUGGCAGUGGGGGGAGGGGGGGAGGGGGGAACGGC